This 495-nucleotide ribosomal RNA is filed under the name uncultured bacterium. RNAcentral describes it as "bacterial SSU rRNA". It matches the Rfam family "Bacterial small subunit ribosomal RNA", at positions 903 to 1397 of the family's 1533-position model. The record is from RNAcentral.
AAAGGAAUAGACGGGGGCCCGCACAAGCGGUGGAGCAUGUGGUUUAAUUCGACGCAACGCGAAGAACCUUACCAGGGCUUGACAUCCCGCGAACCCAUUGGAAACAGUGGGGUGCCCUUCGGGGAGCGCGGAGACAGGUGGUGCAUGGUUGUCGUCAGCUCGUGUCGUGAGAUGUUGGGUUAAGUCCCGCAACGAGCGCAACCCCUAUACUUUGUUGCCAGCACAAAAGGUGGGCACUCAAAGUAGACUGCCAGAGACAAUCUGGAGGAAGGUGGGGACGACGUCAAAUCAUCAUGCCCCUUAUGCUCUGGGCGACACACGUGCUACAAUGGUCGGCACAGAGGGCAGCGAACCCGCGAGGGGGAGCGAAUCCCUAAAACCGGCCCCAGUUCGGAUUGCAGGCUGCAACUCGCCUGCAUGAAGCAGGAAUCGCUAGUAAUCGCGGAUCAGAAUGCCGCGGUGAAUACGUUCCCGGGCCUUGUACACACCGCCCGU